GAGCACUGCCGGCCGGCUGCCUGUGAGCGGCCGCCGGUCGUCACCCC
This 47-nucleotide transfer RNA is filed under the name Vitrella brassicaformis. RNAcentral's name for it is "partial Selenocysteine transfer RNA". The record is from RNAcentral. Lineage: Eukaryota; Vitrellaceae.